Molecule: ribosomal RNA, 494 nt
Filed under: uncultured bacterium
Lineage: Bacteria
Description: partial 16S ribosomal RNA
Rfam family: Bacterial small subunit ribosomal RNA
Source: RNAcentral
GACGAACGCUGGCGGCGUGCUUAACACAUGCAAGUCGAACGGUGAAGCGCCUUCCUUUUUGGUGGGUGUGGAUGAGUGGCGAUCGGGUGAGUAACACGUGAGUAACCUGCCCCCUUCUUCUGGAUAACCGCAUGAAAGUGUGGCUAAUACGGGAUAUUCUGGGUCUGUCGCAUGAUGGGUCUGGGAAAGAUAUUGUUUCGGUGGGGGAUGGGCUCGCGGCCUAUCAGCUUGUUGGUGGGGUGAUGGCCUACCAAGGCGGUGACGGGUAGCCGGCCUGAGAGGGUGGACGGUCACACUGGGACUGAGACACGGCCCAGACUCCUACGGGAGGCAGCAGUGGGGAAUAUUGCACAAUGGGCGCAAGCCUGAUGCAGCGACGCCGCGUGAGGGAUGGAGGCCUUCGGGUUGUGAACCUCUUUCGCCAGUGAAGCAGGCCUGCCUCGUUUGUGGGUGGGUUGACGGUAGCUGGAUAAGAAGCGCCGGCUAACUACGUG